CGUCGUGGCGCAGUGGUUAAUGAAUCCGACUAGGAACCAUGAGGUUGCGGGUUCAGUCCCUGGCCUUGCUCAGUGGGUUAAUGAUCCGGCGUUGCCGUGAGCUGUGGUGUAGGUUGCAGACGCGGCUCGGAUCCCGCGUUGCUGUGGCUCUGGCAUAGGCUGGCAGCUACAGCUCUGAUUAGACCCCUAGCCUGGGAACCUCCAUAUGCCACGGGAGCGGUCCAAGAAAUAGCAAAAAGACAAAAAUAAAUAAAUAAAUUUCUUUUCUUUUCUUUCUUUCUUUUUUUUUUAAGGGGAAGUAAGCCUUUAUUUCUUUGUUUCACAAUAAAGCUGGCUGACUUGGUUGCUUUUUGGUAAUUAAUCAGAGACCAAAUCCCAUAUCCUCGCCCGACUCCUCUGACUCCUCCUUUGCUCCAACCUUGGCUGGGGCUGCUGCAGCAGCAGCAGAAGCAGCAGUGGUGGUGGCGGCCACAGGGGCAGCAGCCACAAAUGCAGAUGGAUCAGCCAAGAAGGCCUUGACUUUUUCAGCAAGUGGGAAGGUGUAAUCAGUCUCCACAGACAAAGCCAGGACCCACUUGUAUCCUUGAUGAUAGAAUGGAGUGCAGAUGCAACAGUUGGGUAACUAGUGUGCAGGCAUACACGGGCAACAUUGCGGACACUGUUCAGGAAGCGAGAAUGCAGAGUUUCCUUGGUGAUGUCAAGCACUUCAGGGUUGUAGAUGCUGCCAUCAAACACCCGCUGAUGAUCAGCCCAGAGGAGAAGGGGGAGGUGUUCAGCAAUGUGGCUUCACUGGCUCCCACUUUGUCUCCAGUCUUAAUGAGCUGCACAUCACUCAGGAUUUCAAUUGCGCCCCUGGAGAUUUUAGUGGUGAUGCCUAAAGCCUGGAAAAAGGAGGUCUUCUUGGGCCCCAGACCAGUGUUCUGGGCAAGCACAGUGACUUCACACAGGGCUAUGGCAGCAGCAUGGGCAGCAGCUGGCACCUUACUGGCCAGAAGCAUGUCCUGAACUCAGUGAGGUCCUCCUUGGUGAAUACAAAGCCCAUGUUCCCCCGGAUGUGAGGCAACCGUUUCUCCAGGACUGGGUGGUUUUCGGAUGGCCUUGCAUGUGCAUCAUGGUGUUCUUGCCCGUCAGCACCACGGCCUUCCCGCGGAGGGACAUGUGGAUCUGCUGCAUCUGAUUGGAGCCCACAUUGUCUGCUCCCACAAUGAAGCAUUUCAGAUAAUCAUCCAGAAGUUGGAUUAUCUUAAGGAAGCAGUUGGACUUCCGGGUUGCCCCGUCUUCCCUGGGCAUCACGGCAGUGCGUCCGGAAUUGCCACGCAGGGUUUAAAGAUGAUGUCACUCACACGAGGACGCCUGGUGAGAGCUUAAAUUU
Molecule: long non-coding RNA, 1372 nt
Filed under: Sus scrofa (pig)
Lineage: Eukaryota; Metazoa; Chordata; Mammalia; Artiodactyla; Suidae
Description: lncRNA (ENSSSCG00025056431.1)
Source: RNAcentral